UACAGAGGUAGCAAGCGUUGUUCGGAAUGACUGGGUGUAAAGCGCGUGUAGGUGGUUUUGUAAGUUGAAUGUGAAAGCCCUUGGCUUAACCAAGGAAGUGCAUUCAAAACUGCUUAACUUGAGGAUGGAAGAGGAAAGUGGAAUUUCUGGUGUAGCGGUAAAAUGCGUAGAUAUCAGAAGGAACACCGGUGGCGAAGGCGACUUUCUGGUCCAUAUCUGACACUGAGACGCGAAAGCUAGGGGAG
Molecule: ribosomal RNA, 245 nt
Filed under: uncultured bacterium
Lineage: Bacteria
Description: partial 16S ribosomal RNA
Rfam family: Bacterial small subunit ribosomal RNA
Source: RNAcentral